RNAcentral lists this long non-coding RNA (677 nucleotides) under Chrysemys picta bellii (western painted turtle). RNAcentral describes it as "lncRNA (ENSCPBG00000008332.1)". Lineage: Eukaryota; Metazoa; Chordata; Testudines; Emydidae. The record is from RNAcentral.
AAUAGUAGCUUUCACAAUAUAUUCAUCUAACACUAGCUAAUGUGACACUCUUCUGAAAGUUAUGUAAUCCUAUAAUGUGGAGAUUAUGAACAGUUUGACAAAUUUCUAACUAGAAGUAACUGGUGUUUAUCCAGAUCAUUGGAAAAGCAGUUAUCUAUCAUUUGUAUAAGUGUUAGACUUCACCUAUGACUUCUACUUAACCUCUGAUGUCAAGGAAGCAGAUAUGAAUUCUUCACAGAGCCUUAGAAGUUGAAGGAUGUGUCAUUCUAGAUGUUUCCUAGGAUUUCAGUCCUCCUCACAGACUUCACCCUAGGACUGCAAUCAAUCCAUCACCUUUGCUAUUUUUGUUACAUUGUUGCUGUUGAAUUUGGAAAAGUGGACAUGAAUACAUCUUAUAAAGGUAUGUAUCAUCAAAAAAACAAACACUCAUCAAUUCUAAUUCUAGUGCUGUCAUUCAUUUGUUAUCUGUCUUUAGGAAGUCACUUAAGUCAAAAUCUUUAAAAAUAUUGAGCACUCAUGGUGCCUAUAUAUAAAGUGAAACUCUAGCCUCUAUGUUUCUAAAACUAGGCACACAAAUUAAUGAAUGCUUUUGAGAAUUAUGGCCUUAACUUUUUUGUUCCUCAGUUUUUCAAUCUAUAAAAUGUACCUACCCUAUGAGGCUAUUGUCAGGAUUAGUU